AUCUUCUUGUGGCUCAUAAAUGUGCUGGUUGGGUUUCCACGCUAUUGUGGGAGAGGUUUCUGUCAAACCCUAUAAUGAUGUCAGUUCAUUGCCC
RNAcentral lists this small nucleolar RNA (94 nucleotides) under Marmota monax (woodchuck). Lineage: Eukaryota; Metazoa; Chordata; Mammalia; Rodentia; Sciuridae. The record is from RNAcentral.